CUCGCAGGAGAGAGAGUGGCUUAUAAUUGCCCUCCGCCGAAGGCGCAAACUCCCAUAAACGCUCAGGCCCCCAAGACUGCGA
Molecule: non-coding RNA, 82 nt
Filed under: uncultured Oceanisphaera sp.
Lineage: Bacteria; Pseudomonadati; Pseudomonadota; Gammaproteobacteria; Aeromonadales; Aeromonadaceae
Description: Glycine riboswitch
Rfam family: Glycine riboswitch aptamer
About the family: This family represents the bacterial glycine riboswitch. Glycine riboswitches usually consist of two metabolite-binding aptamers domains with similar structures in tandem.
Source: RNAcentral